This 45-nucleotide non-coding RNA is filed under the name Schistosoma mansoni. The record is from RNAcentral. Lineage: Eukaryota; Metazoa; Platyhelminthes; Trematoda; Strigeidida; Schistosomatidae.
AUCCAGCUGACGAGUCCCAAAUAGGAUGAAACGUGCGUAUUGGAU